ACAGAUGUGGACCAGAUUAAGAAGUAAGAAGAGGGAAGCAGAUGCCUUGUGAACUGGGUAGUUUUAAUAUCUAUGGCCAUUUGUAGUACAGCAAUGCCAGAUUCUAACCUCAUAGUCCACAGACUGGGGAGGCCCUGGUGUUAUCAUCACCUACUUAGCCAUUCAUUGACAGUCCUCUCCAAAUCUCAUUCUGCUCCCCUGCAGGUUAGUCACAAGGGCAUUACAGGGACAGUUUUAAUUUUUAGAAGGUAUAGAAAAUGUUGCCCCUUCCAGAGAAAGUGCUUAGUGACCACGCCCAUAUAGAUAGGUCUUGGUCUUUAAGCCACAGGUACCAUCUUAGCUCCACUAGGAGGUGACUGAUGUUGACACAUAGUCACCCAUGGUGAAAGGGAUUAGGUACCCCAGGAUCUACAAGAAGUAUAGUAACUGAGCAGCUAGGAGCUCUUCCAGAACUGAACUGGAAUCAGAAACAUUAGAGUUCUGGCUUGGACCCAGCUCUGUGUCAAUCAACACUGCCUCUUUUCUUACCCUCGUUGUCUUUGUCUGCAUAAGCUGGCAGUGAGAUGCUUUAGCAGGGCUUCUUCACACAUUUGCUUAAGAACAUGCUGAACACUUCUAGUGAUGUAGUACUGAUUACACAGGUGACACAAACUCCCCUGCUGCAAAAUGAAUGCCAUAUCACACACACUAGGAUCUGAUUUUAAAUAGGGAAGACUGGGCCUUUCCAUUGAAAGGGUAUCACUUCCUGUAUUUCUUCUCCUUCUAACCAACAUGGCAAAAAGAGAGCAGCCAUCCAUUUAAAAAUCAAACAGUUACGUGAAAAAGCGACCCUUCCCGCAAACCAAAACCAAUAAUGGUUACACCUACCCCGGUACUAGUUUGAUUAUUGAUCUAUUUGGUAAUGCUGGAUUAAGUCAAGAGAAGGCGUUCUUAAAAAUAAGUUACUGAACUGCAGGCUAAGGAAGAAGAAUCACUUGAGUACUAGAGUUCACAUUUGUCCUUGUAAGAGGGAAGCAGAAACAAAUAAGACUACAAAAGCCAUGGUGGAAGUAAAACUGAGAAAGUGCUGUGGAGAUAGAAACCAAGGUAUGCAGUUCAAAAAUCUGGAGAAGGUAGAGAGACUUACUCUUCUUUGUACCUUGGCAAGAGACAGAAAGCACAGCAUUACUAUUACCCUGUCUAAAUGAUCAUUCCUGGAAAGCUGGGUCUGAAAUGGAUUAAUUAGAACUGCAGUGAUACAUAGAGGAUAGAAUGUAGCAAGCCUAGAGACUAAUUACAAAUUGUCUUGGGUUAUAUUUAGUGCCCUAAAAAGGCAUUGUUGCCUACCUCUGUGAAACCUACAUUCUGAGUCUGGCAGAUAAAACUAAACCUGGCAUUCUGAUAAACAGAUAAAAACAUUUGGAAUGUGUUAACCAAAUGCUAUUCCUCACCAAAGAGCUAAGAAUGCUGUCAGAUCACAUCAAGGACCUAAAGCUGAGAUUUCUCCACUGUGCUGUAACCGCCUACCUAAUGUUUCCACCAAUGUAUUUCAAAAGCACUUUGACUUAUAACUUUUCUCUGUUCUGUUGACAUCAUGAAACUACUUCUACAUUGGAACAUAGAAUUUGAGGUGACCUAAAUCUGUGUUUCUGGGUCCUGGUCAUUCAUUGUCUCCAGAUUAAAUGAGGUGAAAGCUGUGCUUUUUUGUAUGGACACCAAUAAAAUGAAUUUUAGACUUCUUGUCUUCAAACUG
RNAcentral lists this long non-coding RNA (1732 nucleotides) under Mus musculus (house mouse). RNAcentral describes it as "long non-coding RNA chr7:40473159-40474891". The record is from RNAcentral. Lineage: Eukaryota; Metazoa; Chordata; Mammalia; Rodentia; Muridae.